ACGAACCGUCCAAACGUUAUUCGGUAUCACUGGGCUUAAAGCGUGCGUAGGCGGCCUGGUAGGUGAGGUGUGAAAGCCCACGGCUCAACCGUGGAAUUGCGCUUCAAACCACCAGGCUGGAGGAUGGCAGGGGUGAUGGGAACUGAUGGUGGAGCGGUGAAAUGCGUUGAUAUCAUCAGGAACACCGGUGGCGAAGGCGCAUCACUGGGCCAUUUCUGACGCUGAGGCACGAAAGCUAGGGUAGCGAACGGGAUUAGAUACCCCGGUAGUCCUAGCUGUAAACGAUGAGCACUGGGUUGAGGGGACCUCCACAUCUUCUCGGCCGUAGCGAAAGCGUUAAGUGCUCCGCCUGGGGAGUAUGGCCGCAAGGCUG
RNAcentral lists this ribosomal RNA (373 nucleotides) under uncultured bacterium. RNAcentral describes it as "bacterial SSU rRNA". It matches the Rfam family "Bacterial small subunit ribosomal RNA", at positions 525 to 896 of the family's 1533-position model. The record is from RNAcentral.